AGUGAACGCUGGCGGUAGGCCUAACACAUGCAAGUCGAACGGCAGCACAGUAAGAGCUUGCUCUUACGGGUGGCGGGUGGCGGACGGGUGAGGAAUACAUCGGAAUCUACUUUUUCGUGGGGGAUAACGUAGGGAAACUUACGCUAAUACCGCAUACGACCUACGGGUGAAAGCAGGGGAUCUUCGGACCUUGCGCGAUUGAAUGAGCCGAUGUCGGAUUAGCUAGUUGGCGGGGUAAAGGCCCAUCAAGGCGACGAUCCGUAGCUGGUCUGAGAGGAUGAUCAGCCACACUGGAACUGAGACACGGUCCAGACUCCUACGGGAGGCAGCAGUGGGGAAUAUUGGACAAUGGGCGCAAGCCUGAUCCAGCCAUACCGCGUGGGUGAAGAAGGCCUUCGGGUUGUAAAGCCCUUUUGUUGGGAAAGAAAAGCAGCAGGUUAAUACCCCGCUGUUCUGACGGUACCCAAAGAAUAAGCACCGGCUAACUUCGUG
RNAcentral lists this ribosomal RNA (492 nucleotides) under uncultured bacterium. RNAcentral's name for it is "partial 16S ribosomal RNA". It matches the Rfam family "Bacterial small subunit ribosomal RNA", at positions 29 to 507 of the family's 1533-position model. The record is from RNAcentral.